AGUGGGAAGGAAUUGACAGGUGCAUAUCACCUCAUCAUCCUGGACACCACAGGAAGAUUAUAAUUGGCUUUCCUUUUACAAAGAGGGAGAAACAAGGAUCCUAGAGUGAGUGAUGCUGAGAGGUUGUCUGGGAAGCACAAGGACAGGGUUCUGAAAGAAAGAGAAACGGAAAAGACCCGAGAACCGCUUUUGAUGAAGAUUCCCCCAGAAUGAGUAAUCUCUAGGGUCCGUUCCCAGCCCAAGAUUGAUGGAACCACCACAUCUGUUGAAGGAUGUUUUCCUGUUAUCCGCUUGGAGAGCGAUCAAAUGAAAUCCCACCGGGUAGGAAUGGAAGCAGAGGCCGGGGCGGCACCCAAAUCCUGGCGCCGGAGUUUGAGCCGCGGGACUGGAGCCUGACACCGAGGGCGGAGCCGCUUGGGAAAACCCAGAGCACACAUGAAAUUAAGGAUAAUGGGUUUUGAAGGCACUGACAACUCCGGAUUGUCCUGUGAACUUUAGGCAGAUCUGCUUCUAUAAAAUAAAGGUGUGAUGUUGAAAAGAAGACUUAAGUCAGACCCUCUAGGAGCCAACAUCUAGGAAGGAGGAGGAUGGAAUACUUUCCUUGCCUGCUUGCUGCCUGCCUCUGUAGACUCUUCAAUAAAAGAGCACUGGGCCCUGACCACAUAGCUCAGUUGGUCAGAGCUUCACCUGGAUACACCAAGGUUGUGGAUUCCAUCCCACCAAUGAAUGCAUAAAUAAAUGGAACAACAACUCCAUGUUUCUCAUCACUCUCUCUUACU
Molecule: long non-coding RNA, 779 nt
Organism: Phyllostomus hastatus (greater spear-nosed bat)
Lineage: Eukaryota; Metazoa; Chordata; Mammalia; Chiroptera; Phyllostomidae
Exons: 3
Source: RefSeq, a predicted model, not a curated record